Molecule: unclassified non-coding RNA, 432 nt
Filed under: soil metagenome
Description: partial contains 5.8S ribosomal RNA, internal transcribed spacer 2, and large subunit ribosomal RNA
Rfam family: 5.8S ribosomal RNA (bases 1-120)
Source: RNAcentral
GAUGAAGAACGUAGCGAAAUGCGAUACGUAAUGUGAAUUGCAGAAUUCAGUGAAUCAUCGAAUCUUUGAACGCAUAUUGCGCUCUCUGGUAUUCCGGAGAGCAUGCUUGUUUGAGUAUCAGUAAACACCUCAACUUCCAUAUCUUUUUUGAAAUGGGAGUUGGACUUGAGUGAUCCCAACGCUUUUCCUCACCGAAAAGUGGCGGGUUACUUGAAAUGCAGGUGCAGCUGGACUUUUCUCUGAGCUAUAAGCAUAUCUAUUUAGUCUGCCUAAAAAACAGAUUAUUACCUUUGCUGCAGCUAACAUAAAGGAGAUUAGUUCUUGUGCUGACUGAUGCAGGAUUCACAAAGACGGCUUCGGCCGACUUUGUAAACUAGAUCUCAAAUCAAGUAAGACUACCCGCUGAACUUAAGCAUAUCAAUAAGCGGAGGA